GGCACUAUAGAAAAUAUCUAUAAGCGGGUGAACGAUUGUAUUGAAAGGAGCCUGAAUGGGCAUCCCAUUGAUACCAACAGCCGUGAAAUGCAGGCUAUUUCCA
Molecule: unclassified non-coding RNA, 103 nt
Filed under: uncultured fungus
Lineage: Eukaryota; Fungi
Description: sequence contains ITS1
Source: RNAcentral